Molecule: long non-coding RNA, 1052 nt
Filed under: Cricetulus griseus (Chinese hamster)
Lineage: Eukaryota; Metazoa; Chordata; Mammalia; Rodentia; Cricetidae
Description: lncRNA (ENSCGRG00015041494.1)
Source: RNAcentral
GUGCCAACCAAACUGCUCCACGUGCGUCCCGGGUGUCAUCCGCAAGACAGUGGGUCGCGAUCCCCAGAACCCCUGUUACCACGAUGCUAAUAGAUGCCAAGGUGCGGAUGUGACUCUUCCCCGAGCUUCGAGGAGCCCCCAGCAGUACCUGAAAGGGGCGUGUGGCGACUGCGGAAAAGUGGCCUGUAGUGGGCGGGACCGCGGCACCUGACUCAGGUCUCACCAACGGCGUUUCCUCAUCUAUAAAACGGGACUUAACGCCAACAUCCCUCCCAAAAGCGCAGUUGAGAGACGACCUAAUCAUGGAUACUCCUUUUGUGUGUGAGGGGCAGGGGGUCCUCAUGUAGGCCGGCCUAGCCCUCUCAAUUCGCUGAGUAGUUAAGGAGGACUUUGUGCUUCUGAUCCUCCUGCCUCCACCUCCUCUGUGUUGGGAUUACAGAAUUAAGACAUGCACCAGCCUCAAACUGGACAGGGCAGAAGCGGGUGGACCUCGGUCAAGUUCAAGGACAGCCUGGGCUAUGUGCCAGACCUGGCUCAAAUAAAUAAACCCCAUUCCUUUAGCUGCAAAAACCCUCUGACUCCCCUAGUCCACAGUAAAGUGUAAAUCGACGCCGAGGUCUUACUCCUCACGUGACUGCAAGACCCCGCCCACAGGGAAGGGAACAUGGCGACGCCCAGGGUGGCUUCAGAAAGAGGGCAAUCAACGAGAGGACGCUGACGCACCAGAGCGUCCACACCGGCGUCGUCUCUGCGGUUGAGGGCUGGGAAGGCGGGAAUUCUGGGUGUACGCGCUGGACCUCCUCCCGGUUUUUAAAAGAGAAUAGAGAAGGAGGGGCCCACCUGAACCCCAGAGAUAGCAUGAUCUGAUCUGCCUGAGACCUCCCCACUUGUUGAGAGCCCCAGGAUCCGAGGCAGGAGGAUGAACUUGUGGCAUUCCGUAACGGUUUUUCCAAAACCUUUGUGUCAACACCUUGCCAAUUUAUUAAGUGGCCUCGGUGUCAGCCCAGCCUCUGCUUCCCAAACACACACACAAUCUGUUCUUCCCUUUGCCG